This 492-nucleotide ribosomal RNA is filed under the name uncultured bacterium. RNAcentral's name for it is "partial 16S ribosomal RNA". It matches the Rfam family "Bacterial small subunit ribosomal RNA", at positions 29 to 507 of the family's 1533-position model. The record is from RNAcentral.
AGUGAACGCUGGCGGUAGGCCUAACACAUGCAAGUCGAACGGCAGCACAGUAAGAGCUUGCUCUUACGGGUGGCGAGUGGCGGACGGGUGAGGAAUACAUCGGAAUCUACUUUUUCGCGGGGGAUAACGUAGGGAAACUUACGCUAAUACCGCAUACGACCUACGGGUGAAAGCAGGGGAUCUUCGGACCUUGCGCGAUUGAAUGAGCCGAUGUCGGAUUAGCUAGUUGGCGGGGUAAAGGCCCACCAAGGCGACGAUCCGUAGCUGGUCUGAGAGGAUGAUCAGCCACACUGGAACUGAGACACGGUCCAGACUCCUACGGGAGGCAGCAGUGGGGAAUAUUGGACAAUGGGCGCAAGCCUGAUCCAGCCAUACCGCGUGGGUGAAGAAGGCCUUCGGGUUGUAAAGCCCUUUUGUUUGGAAAGAAAAGCAGCAGGUUAAUACCCCGCUGUUCUGACGGUACCCAAAGAAUAAGCACCGGCUAACUUCGUG